UUUAUAUGAGAUGGAAUUGGUUCUUUGCAGAUGAGUUCCCUUCAGUCUCUGGAGGUUGCUCUAAACUCUGUUAGCUCUUCUCUCACUAUCUUUUUCCCAGCCAGGGUAAUAGGAAUAGAAUGGCCUUUUGUUUCACUGAAACUCUGAAUUUAUAACCUGAUUUUUGUGGACCUGUGGGCUCAAAUGGGAGAGGCCCAAGUCCAAAAAUU
Molecule: long non-coding RNA, 209 nt
Filed under: Lathyrus oleraceus (garden pea)
Lineage: Eukaryota; Viridiplantae; Streptophyta; Magnoliopsida; Fabales; Fabaceae
Description: Pisum sativum (pea) long non-coding RNA (PSAT_LNC002964)
Source: RNAcentral